UACAGAGGUCUCGAGCGUUAGGCGGAAUCACUGGGCUUAAAGCGUGUGUAGGUGGCUCGUUAAGUACCUUGUGAAAUCCCCCGGCUUAACCUGGGAACUGCGUCUGAUACUGGAAGGCUUGAGUGCGGGAGAGGGAUGUGGAAUUCCAGGUGUAGCGGUGAAAUGCGUAGAUAUCUGGAGGAACACCGGUGGCGAAGGCGGCAUCCUGGACCGACACUGACGCUGAGGCGCGAAAGCUAGGGUAGCAAACGGG
Molecule: ribosomal RNA, 253 nt
Filed under: uncultured bacterium
Lineage: Bacteria
Description: partial 16S ribosomal RNA
Rfam family: Bacterial small subunit ribosomal RNA
Source: RNAcentral